AGAGUUUGAUCAUGGCUCAGGAUGAACGCUAGCUACAGGCUUAACACAUGCAAGUCGAGGGGAAACGACAUCGAAAGCUUGCUUUUUGAUGGGCGUCGACGGCCCCCGCACGGGUGAGUAACGCGUAUCCAACCUGCCCACCACUUGGGGAUAACCUUGCGAAAGUAAGACUAAUACCCAAUGAUAUCUCUAGAAGACAUCUGAAAGAGAUUAAAGAUUUAUCGGUGAUGGAUGGGGAUGCGUCUGAUUAGCUUGUUGGCGGGGUAACGGCCCACCAAGGCAACGAUCAGUAGGGGUUCUGAGAGGAAGGUCCCCCACAUUGGAACUGAGACACGGUCCAAACUCCUACGGGAGGCAGCA
RNAcentral lists this ribosomal RNA (360 nucleotides) under uncultured bacterium. RNAcentral describes it as "bacterial SSU rRNA". It matches the Rfam family "Bacterial small subunit ribosomal RNA", at positions 8 to 353 of the family's 1533-position model. The record is from RNAcentral.